AUCUAGCUGACGAGUCCCAAACAGAACAAAAUGCGCGUUCUGGAU
Molecule: non-coding RNA, 45 nt
Filed under: Schistosoma margrebowiei
Lineage: Eukaryota; Metazoa; Platyhelminthes; Trematoda; Strigeidida; Schistosomatidae
Source: RNAcentral